GAAAAGGCUGUAAUAGCCAUUCAUUGCCUACAUAUCCGAUUGGCUAUUCCAUCCGGCUCUCUUUUCCCAAUUUUCCAAUUUCUGCCUUCCUUCAUCUUCUCCUUCACUUUCUUGCCAUUUUUCAGAUCUUCCCCUUCAUCUUCUCCCACAGAUCUGUAACUUUCUCUCCUUCUGUUCCCAUAUUUCAGGUAAUUUAUUUUUUCCUUCUUUUUAACGUUUCUCUUUUGUACUUUAGAAACUGAAGCAAAGGCGAAGAAAAUAGAGAAAAAGAUGACAAAAAAAUUUACUGGAAAUGUUAGACAGUGUUUCUUUUCUUUAGUUUACUAGUUUCGAAAUUUUUAACUCUUUGCUUAAAACCCAUUUCUUGGAUUUCGUUGUUUUUUCAGGGUUUCUAAAAAGAAGAAAUUUUCAAGGUAAUAUGCUUUGUACCCUUUUACUUCUACUUCUUGUUUUAAACCCUUUCUUGCAUGUGAUCUUUGCUGAGACAGUUUAUGCAUGUCUAUGGUCUUGCAUUUUCUUUCUCCAUCUUGCCGAAGUAGAGAGUCCCUUGUGUAGUUGACCUUUGUCAAGGUGAGUCUUUUCAUAUUCCAGAUAUAAGAGGAAAAAAUUCAGCCAAUCUCUUUGCUGUUUACCCGGCAUGAUGACUUUGUGAAGUUAAGUGGCUAAAAUUUCUUGUUUUUGGCUGUUGAUUCUCAUCAUUAUGGUUCAGGCUACUAGUUCAUAAACAGAAAAAACAUAAUAUAUAUUUUUAUCAUAAAUGUAGUUUCAUGCAUGAGUAGAUAUUACUGUAAUUGGAAUUUUGAUUUCAUGUACCUGCAUUCUCUCCUUGUUAGCAUCGCGUAUUACUCUUCCCUUGUCCAGUAAUGAUGGAUUAAGCGGAUCUCAGUGAUUCUUAUAUUAAAAGAUGGGAGUUUUGUUAGUUUCUCUGAACUGUUGAUUCUAGUUCUUGGAGUUCGGGAACUCCUAAAUUUCCAUAUUUCCUUUUAUCUGGCUUUGCAAUUGCAUGUAAAUCUGUUGUUGAAGUUUUCAAUUGGAAAUGGUUUCUAUAUUUUUCUUGAAUGAUCUGUUUAUAUUGUGCUCUGGAUUUUUUUUUUAAAAAAAGAAGAAAAAAUUAUCCAAUUUACGUUUAUUAAAGUUAGCAUUGCAAAUUGUCCAUGAAGCAUGGAGUUUAGAGGAUGGAUACUAAAUCACAAGGGCUAGUUUAUUAUUAUUAUUAUUAUUAUUAUUAGUAUUAUUAUUAUUAUUAUUAUUAUUAUUAUUUUCUUGAAGGAAUGUUCGAUUUCAUUCUUGCAUAAACAAGUAAUAGAAUUAAAUGGGGGAAAAUUGAUUCUUCUUGGAGGAUAUGAAAUCCCACCAUGUAAACGUCAUACUUGAGAUAUUUGGGAAAUGAGGGGAAAAAUUAGACACUCUAGGAGACCCUUUAAUAUCAUUAGCGAUAACUUUUCCUUUUUCCCUUGCAUCUUGUGGUCUUUUUUUUUGUAAUAUUAUUCCCCUUAUCAUUAUACUUAUUGGAAGUUAUUACAACAGUUUUAGUGCACUGUCACUGCUCAGACAGACUGUCGAGGGAGCCUUACAUUACAACCUUACAUUAUUGCACUGUCCCCUGCAUCUUGUGGUCAAUUUAACUUUUACUUGUUUUAUAAGAAAGACUCAUUUAGCAACUCAAUAACUAAUCUUCGUGGCUGAUCAUAACAGCCAAUUUCUUCUCAAGUCACUCCCUAAUUUGUGUAUAUCUAAUACACUUGGAACAAGAGAUGAGCUUGGUAGUUUUUGUUGGUUUAUAAGGACAAGGAAAUAAUAAUAGUAUGCUUUUUCUUAGAGAAAUAAUAAUUUGGAUUUUCAUAACAUGUUACUAUAAAUUACAAAAAGAAAAGAAGAUUACAUUAUGAGACAAAUGUACUAAGAUUAUGGCACAUGGAACAUAUAUCUAUGCUGGUGGGAACAUCCUAUCCUAGUCCCUUGUGCAUUUAUGCUAAUGCUAGCAGUAAUGUAAGAGUUUUUCGAGGGAAAUUAAACUCUUGGGUAAACUUGAGAUUUGAGUGCAAUAAAUAAAAACAAAUAUUUUAUCAAUUUUUUAGGCAAAGAUAGAAAAGAUAGUUUGCAUGCUGUCGAGGAAUUUAACUGACCAAAAGAUAGAAUUUUUAGUGAAAUUUCUAGCUGUCAAGGGAGCUGCCGAAGCAUGCAGUUUGCAUGCAUGCUGUCUAAUUUCUUACCAAUUUAGGUGGUCUGAUCGAUGGUUGUUUAUUGUUGUCCAAAUAAUAAUUAAAGAUCAACCAAAUGAUGAGGGAAUUAAAAUGGUCUGAACAAUGUGAAACUAAAUUGUUAAAUAUUAACUAAUGAUGUCCAAAUGGAUAUGAUUUAUGAUGUUAGUAAGCUAAAAAUUUAGGUGUUAAAUGCUGCAAUUUAUGGUGUCUGAAAGUUGUGAUUUAUGAUAUUAAUAAUGAUGUAUUUUAAGUUGUUCGAAUGUGUUAAAGAGUUGAUUUAAUUUAAUGCAUAAUGGUUGUUUACUGUUGUUCAAAGCAUGAUGAAAUAAACAUGUUAGGCGUAGUUUAAUAUAUGCCUUGUUGAGCCGUAAGGUUGUCCAAAACAAGACAAAAUUUAGUUGUCUUUAAGAUGUUCGAAUGUGGUUGUUCGAAUGGUUCUCCAAAUGUGUCUUUAAGGUGCUCGAAAAUGUCAUAUUAAUGUUGUCCAUGUAUGAUUUAAUGUUUUAUCAUUUGGAGCUUUAAUAUUUUAACACAAGUGAUGUUAAUUUCUUGUCUUGAUAACAUCUUUAUUAUUUACUGAUACAGGUGGACAGACAAGUAUCAGGUAACAGACAUAAACAAAUAUCUUCACUGCAAUGAUGAUACCAUUACUCUUUUCUAGUAAUAUGGGAAAGACAAUAUAUACAUGUUAAACUACAUUUACAAUUCGGAUUGGAUCUUUUUACUUUAAACAAGAACAUUUUGGUUAUAUUUAAUUUUCGAUAUGUUUUUAUUUUUGAUAUGUUUCAUUUAAAACUAUUUUAAUCUUUUCAUAUAUUAUUAAACUAUUAUUAUUUUCGAUAUCUUUAAUUUAUGUUAUAUUUAAUUUUGGUCUUCAAACAAUGUUUUAUAUUACUUAUAUUAUUUGAUUAAAAAUUAUAAUUAACACUAUAAAAAUUCUGCUAAGGGUAUUUUAGUCAUUUUAGUUUUUUUUCUUAUACUAUUACAACAUAAGAAUACUAUUACAGUUCUAUUCCAUUCCAUUCAACCAAACAAUUAAAUUACUUAUUACAGUUCUAUUCAAUUACAACUUUAUUUCAUUAUAGUGAACCAAACGUACCCUCAGUAUUUUAUUAAUCUUGGGUUUGUAUAUAUGCCUAGAAAAAUGAUAAAAUCUUUUCAACUAAAUGAUAACGUGUUCAAUAGCUUCUUUUUUUUUUUUUUUCUUAUACUAGUUCCCAUGUGCUUUUAUAUGUUUAUUUUUUAAAUUUAUCAAAUAAUAUAUUUUUAUGAUUUAAAAGAAAAUAUAUUUACUAAUUAGAAGAGAAUUAAUCUAAUUUAUAAUAAAAUUAUAUUUAUUUUAAAAGUAGUGAAAAAUAAAAAGUGAGAAACAAUUAAUAGCAAAAUAUUAAAUAAUUAGAAAAAAUAAUUUGUCUUUUGAAUAGGAGUCGAAUUUUCAUCUACAAAGAACCAUUACUUUAAUACUUUAUUAAAUUUAACAUAAUAUUUCACAACAUUCACAAUUAUGUAAACAUUAUUAAAAUAAAAUAAUAGUAAAAUUAUCAAAUAUCUAAUAAAAAUAACUAAACAUCUCAAAUAAUAAUUAAAAUCAUACUUUUUUUCUUU
This 3809-nucleotide long non-coding RNA is filed under the name Gossypium barbadense (sea-island cotton). RNAcentral's name for it is "long non-coding RNA (GBAR_LNC016927)". Lineage: Eukaryota; Viridiplantae; Streptophyta; Magnoliopsida; Malvales; Malvaceae. The record is from RNAcentral.